AGACACCCUUCUGUGGCAAGACUUGCUUCAGUAGGGCUUUGGUGCUCACUGAGUCUGCCCCCUGAGUGUGUCCCU
Molecule: microRNA precursor, 75 nt
Filed under: Myotis lucifugus (little brown bat)
Lineage: Eukaryota; Metazoa; Chordata; Mammalia; Chiroptera; Vespertilionidae
Description: mir-9229 microRNA precursor family
Rfam family: mir-9229 microRNA precursor family
Source: Rfam by way of RNAcentral